RNAcentral lists this ribosomal RNA (253 nucleotides) under uncultured bacterium. RNAcentral's name for it is "partial 16S ribosomal RNA". It matches the Rfam family "Bacterial small subunit ribosomal RNA", at positions 524 to 776 of the family's 1533-position model. The record is from RNAcentral.
UACGUAGGAGGCAAGCGUUGUCCGGAAUUACUGGGCGUAAAGCGCGUGUAGGUGGUGGGACAAGUCUGCUGUGAAAGCGCCUGGCUUAACCGGGCGAGGUCGGCGGAAACUGUCGCACUCGAGGACGGUAGAGGGGGGUGGAAUUCCCGGUGUAGUGGUGAAAUGCGUAGAGAUCGGGAGGAACACCUGUGGCGAAAGCGGCUCUCUGGAACGGUACUGACGCUGAGACGCGAAAGCGUGGGGAGCGAACAGG